Molecule: unclassified non-coding RNA, 252 nt
Filed under: plant metagenome
Description: partial contains small subunit ribosomal RNA and internal transcribed spacer 1
Rfam family: Eukaryotic small subunit ribosomal RNA (bases 1-46)
Source: RNAcentral
AAGUCGUAACAAGGUUUCCGUAGGUGAACCUGCGGAAGGAUCAUUACCGAGAUAGGGUCGCCGGCCUAAACCCCCGACGCCCGACCUCCCACCCCAUGUCUACAUUACCUCUGUUUCCUCGGCGGACCGCCCGGUUCCUGGUAACAGGCCCGGCCGUCGGCCCCCGUAAGGGAGUCCUCGAGCGUCCAUCGAAGGACCACAUAAAACCCAAAUGAAAAUCAGCCUUCUGAGUAACAUUAUAAUACUUCAAAA